Molecule: long non-coding RNA, 73 nt
Organism: Lynx canadensis (Canada lynx)
Lineage: Eukaryota; Metazoa; Chordata; Mammalia; Carnivora; Felidae
Exons: 3
Source: RefSeq, a predicted model, not a curated record
UAUUUAAAAUAAUAUUGGAAGUUCUAGUCAGAGCAAUUACCCAAGAAAAGGAAGUAAGAUGCAUCCAAAUUGA